GUGGAAUAAAGAAAAAAGAACAUAAAAUUUUUGCUCUCAGAAAUCGACAAACGCCGGUGACGGUGUGACGGUGGUGAGAUUCCGGUAAACAGCCUGGGUCUUUUCUUCCUCUUUCUAAAUCUUCAAGUAUUUUCAUUUUAAUUUGUUUUCUUAUUGAUGCAUCUUAGUUUAGUUUGUUAUUCGCUCUCAGAAAUCGACAAACGCCGGUGACGGUGGUGAGAUUCCGGUAAACAGCCUGGGUCUUUUCUUCCUCUUUCUAAAUCUUCAAGUAUUUUCAUUUUAAUUUGUUUUCUUAUUGAUGCAUCUUAGUUUAGUUUGUUAUUCGCUCUCAGAAAUCGACAAACGCCGGUGACGGUGGUGAGAUUCCGGUAAACAGCCUGGGUCUUUUCUUCCUCUUUCUAAAUCUUCAAGUAUUUUCAUUUUAAUUUGUUUUCUUAUUGAUGCAUCUUAGUUUAGUUUGUUAUUCGCUCUCAGAAAUCGACAAACGCCGGUGACGGUGGUGAGAUUCCGGUAAACAGCCUGGGUCUUUUCUUCCUCUUUCUAAAUCUUCAAGUAUUUUCAUUUUAAUUUGUUUUCUUAUUGAUGCAUCUUAGUUUAGUUUGUUAUUCGCUCUCAGAAAUCGACAAACGCCGGUGACGGUGGUGAGAUUCCGGUAAACAGCCUGGGUCUUUUCUUCCUCUUUCUAAAUCUUCAAGUAUUUUCAUUUUAAUUUGUUUUCUUAUUGAUGCAUCUUAGUGGUUAUUCAAAUUUACAAAACACAUAGUUAGUUCAAAUUUUCUUGAUUUGACUCCUCUCCUUUUGUUUAGUUUUUAUGCAUUAUGCAAUCAAUAUUAUAAGUGAGCUCAUUGAAUUUACAUUGUUGGCAUAGAUGAUGCAUAAUCAAGGAUAGGGAAUUAAAUAUUUUAUUUUUUCCUAAUUCAAAAGAUUUUUCUCACACGUUCCAAAUUGAACUUUCUUCCCCCAUUCACUUCUCUUAUUUGUAUCAACAUUCAAACCACAAAUUUCUUAGAUGUUGCGAUGUUAUCUAAGUCAGGUAUGUGUUAUCAUUUGUCAUUUUUUUUGUUGAUUUUAUGGAUUAAGCUGUAGAAAUGAGUUGAUUUUUGCUGUAUUAUGGUUAAUUAUUGAUUAAUUAUUUGAAUGUGUGGAUUUGUUUGGAUGGUUGUUGAUUUUUAUGUGAAUUUCAUAUCUGAAACAUGGUGUUGCAUGUGUGAUGGUAUGUGAAAAUUGGGGGUUUUGGUGGAGAGUGUUUGAAUUAAGGAAUUCUAAUGGAAAUUAGUGUAGAAAAGGGAAUAAUCACCUUAGAUGAAGAGAGUGGUAAGAGGAGUAAUCACCUUAGAUGGAAAAAAGUGUUGGUUUAAGGUAGUCCACAUUGAAGAUGAACCAAUUGUUCAGUAUGAAUAGAUUUAGUUUAGUUCUAACUUCACUACAAUCACUAUCUUACCAUCAGAUCGCUAAUCGCUGAACGAAAGGGCAUCUUCUUCAUUCUACAUUCUAAAUUCAUUCAAUUCGUAAUUUAUUUCCACUAAUUAUAUCUCCACAUUUUCAAUUUUCUUUUGAAUGUUUUUUUUUAAGAUUAGGGCUUUUGUUCGAGAGAUCAAAUUGGCGUAUAGUCCAAAAUUCUUAUUUAAUGGAGGUCGCAGCCAGCGUCGCGUCCUCACGUUGCGUUUCUCUUCUGAUGCCUUCUUUACAGUUUUCCCGGAAAGAGUGGUGCGCUGUUUCUGAACAUCCUGUUCGAAACUCUGGCGACGAGGUAAUCCUUCACUCAACUUGCUUGCAUUGUUUCUUUUUUUCUCUUUAGUCUUAGAUGUUAGGUUGUUAUCUGUUUAUCUAUAUAUCUUGAGGUUUAAAUAAAAAGUUUGUGUUAUAUAGGAUUUGGAGCGAUUUAAGUUAGGGCGAUUGGAUGAGAGAUUGACAUAUGAGGUAAUGCAUGUUCCUUGAGGUCUUUGGUCCAUCUCUCCAUCGAUCCACUCUCUGCACGUUUCUGUAAAUACCCAUCAUCGCCGAAAUUUCCAUUGCCACUGAAAUUACCCUAUGGCUACUGCAACUGAUAGUCGCUACUUUGAAUAACUUCCUUAAUUUCUCAAAUUUGGGAACCGCU
This 2098-nucleotide long non-coding RNA is filed under the name Panax ginseng (ginseng). Its description in RNAcentral is "long non-coding RNA (PGIN_LNC001223)". The record is from RNAcentral. Lineage: Eukaryota; Viridiplantae; Streptophyta; Magnoliopsida; Apiales; Araliaceae.